AGGGCUUGACAUACUGCGAAUCUCCUUGAAAGGGGAGAGUGCCUUCGGGAAUGCAGAUACAGGUGGUGCAUGGCUGUCGUCAGCUCGUGUCGUGAGAUGUUGGGUUAAGUCCCGCAACGAGCGCAACCCUUGUUUUUAGUUACCAACUUGUUGGGUUUUCUAGAAAGACUGCCGGUGACAAACCGGAGGAAGGUGAGGAUGACGUCAAGUCAGCAUGCCCCUUAUGUCCUGGGCUACACACGUGCUACAAUGGUUAGGACAAAGAGUCGCAAGUUUGCAAAAACAAGCUAAUCUCAUAAACCUAGCCUAAGUUCAGAUUGUAGGCUGCAACUCGCCUACAUGAAGUUGGAAUCGCUAGUAAUCGCUGGUCAGCCAUACAG
RNAcentral lists this ribosomal RNA (380 nucleotides) under Haptophyta environmental samples. Its description in RNAcentral is "SSU rRNA". It matches the Rfam family "Bacterial small subunit ribosomal RNA", at positions 976 to 1359 of the family's 1533-position model. Lineage: Eukaryota; Haptophyta. The record is from RNAcentral.